Molecule: ribosomal RNA, 402 nt
Filed under: uncultured bacterium
Lineage: Bacteria
Description: bacterial SSU rRNA
Rfam family: Bacterial small subunit ribosomal RNA
Source: RNAcentral
UGGGGAAUAUUGGACAAUGGGGGCAACCCUGAUCCAGCAAUACCGCGUGAGUGAAGAAGGCCUUCGGGUUGUAAAGCUCUUUUACCGGGGAAGAUAAUGACGGUACCCGGGGAAUAAGCUCCGGCUAACUUCGUGCCAGCAGCCGCGGUAAUACGAAGGGAGCUAGCGUUGUUCGGAAUUACUGGGCGUAAAGGGCGCGUAGGCGGUUUUGUAAGUCAGAUGUGAAAGCCCCGGGCUUAACCUGGGAACUGCAUUUGAGACUGCAAGACUAGAGAUCGAGAGAGGAAAGUGGAAUUACGAGUGUAGAAGUGAAAUUCGUAGAUAUUCGUAGGAACACCGGUGGCGAAGGCGACUUUCUGGCUCGACCCUGACGCUAAAGCGCGAAAGCGUGGGGAGCAAACA